GGGAGAAUGGGUGCGGGGGGGGAGGUAAGAGGGCGGGUGGGGGGGUUGGUCGGGAUGACUGGGGGGAAGGCGUGGGCAGGCGGGUCGGUGGGUCGGCGGUGAAGGGCGGGGGCUGAGCCUGGGAACGGGCGUGGAAAAUGGCGAAGUGGAGUGUGGGAGAGGGGGGUGGAAUUCCGCGUGUAGCAGUGAAAUGCGUAGAGAUGCGGAGGAACACCGAUGGCGAAGGCAGCCCCCUGGGCUGACACUGACGCUCAGGCACGAAAGCGUGGGGAGCAAACAGGAUUAGAUACCCGAGUAGUC
Molecule: ribosomal RNA, 300 nt
Filed under: uncultured Metallosphaera sp.
Lineage: Archaea; Thermoproteati; Thermoproteota; Thermoprotei; Sulfolobales; Sulfolobaceae
Description: partial 16S ribosomal RNA
Rfam family: Bacterial small subunit ribosomal RNA (bases 55-300)
Source: RNAcentral